This 322-nucleotide unclassified non-coding RNA is filed under the name compost metagenome. RNAcentral's name for it is "partial contains 5.8S ribosomal RNA, internal transcribed spacer 2, and large subunit ribosomal RNA". The stretch from base 1 to 105 matches the Rfam family "5.8S ribosomal RNA", at positions 50 to 154 of the family's 154-position model. RNAcentral also lists the same sequence under 1 other name. The record is from RNAcentral.
GAAAUGCGAUAAGUAAUGUGAAUUGCAGAAUUCCGUGAAUCAUCGAAUCUUUGAACGCACAUUGCGCCCCCUGGCAUUCCGGGGGGCAUGCCUGUCCGAGCGUCAUUGCUAACCCUCCAGCCCGGCUGGUGUGUUGGGCCGCCGUCCCCUCCGGGGGACGGGCCCGAAAGGCAGCGGCGGCGCCGCGUCCGGUCCUCGAGCGUAUGGGGCUUUGUCACACGCUCUGGUAGGCCCGGCCGGCUUGCUGGCCAACGACCUCACGGUCACCUAACUUCUCUCUUAGGUUGACCUCGGAUCAGGUAGGGAUACCCGCUGAACUUAA